ACGCUCGACACCUGGAGGCAGCAGUGGGGAAUAUUGCACAAUGGGGGAAACCCUGAUGCAGCGACGCCGCGUGGAGGAAGAAGGUCUUCGGAUUGUAAACUCCUGUUGUUGGGGAAAAAGAGGAUGGUACCCAACAAGGAAGUGACGGCUAACUACGUGUCAGCAGCCGCGGUAAUCUGAGCGGGCUGGCAAGGC
RNAcentral lists this ribosomal RNA (195 nucleotides) under uncultured bacterium. Its description in RNAcentral is "partial 16S ribosomal RNA". It matches the Rfam family "Bacterial small subunit ribosomal RNA", at positions 328 to 539 of the family's 1533-position model. The record is from RNAcentral.